RNAcentral lists this ribosomal RNA (450 nucleotides) under uncultured Salinicoccus sp. RNAcentral describes it as "bacterial SSU rRNA". It matches the Rfam family "Bacterial small subunit ribosomal RNA", at positions 354 to 796 of the family's 1533-position model. Lineage: Bacteria; Bacillati; Bacillota; Bacilli; Caryophanales; Staphylococcaceae. The record is from RNAcentral.
GUAGGGAAUCUUCCGCAAUGGACGAAAGUCUGACGGAGCAACGCCGCGUGAGUGAAGAAGGGUUUCGGCUCGUAAAACUCUGUUGUCAGGGAAGAACGCCGACGGGAGUAACUGCCCGUCGGGUGACGGUACCUGACCAGAAAGCCACGGCUAACUACGUGCCAGCAGCCGCGGUAAUACGUAGGUGGCAAGCGUUAUCCGGAAUUAUUGGGCGUAAAGCGCGCGUAGGCGGUUCGUUAAGUCUGAUGUGAAAGCCCCCGGCUCAACCGGGGAGGGUCAUUGGAAACUGGCGGACUUGAGUGCAGAAGAGGAGAGUGGAAUUCCAUGUGUAGCGGUGAAAUGCGCAGAGAUAUGGAGGAACACCAGUGGCGAAGGCGGCUCUCUGGUCUGCAACUGACGCUGAGGUGCGAAAGCGUGGGGAUCAAACAGGAUUAGAAACCCUAGUAGUCC